GUCUACCUGCCGCUGCCGACUAGCCUGCACGUGCAGUGGGCGGUGGCCGCGGCGGAGAAAGGUAAACACGUGCUGCUGGAGAAGCCGACGGCGCUUUGCGCCGCCGAUCUGGAGGCGAUUCUUGCUGCUUGCGAGUCGAAGGGUGUGCAGUUCAUGGACUCGACUAUGUGGAUGCAUCACCCACGGACGGCCAAGAUGAAGGAGCUCAUCUCCGACCCCACGCUGUUUGGUCAGCUCAGCACGGUAAACAGCAUAUUUUCCUUUGGUGGAAACCCUGAUUUUCUUCAGAAUGACAUUCGUGUGAGGCCUGACCUUGAUGCCCUUGGAGCUCUGGGUGAUACCGGGUGGUACUGCAUUCGAGCGAUCCUGUGGGCAGCCAACUAUGAGUUGCCCAAAACUGCAAUUGCAC
Molecule: unclassified non-coding RNA, 409 nt
Filed under: Hevea brasiliensis (rubber tree)
Lineage: Eukaryota; Viridiplantae; Streptophyta; Magnoliopsida; Malpighiales; Euphorbiaceae
Source: RNAcentral